UGAGCAAUCUGCCCUUCUCAUCGGAAUAAGCGUUGGAAACGACGUCUAAUGCCGAAUACGACCUCCUUUCGCAUGAUCGGAGGUGGAAAGCUCCGGCGGAGAAGGAUGAGCUCGCGGCCUAUCAGCUAGUUGGUGAGGUAAUGGCUCACCAAGGCGACGACGGGUAGCCGGCCUGAGGAGGGUGACCGGCCACACGUGGGACUGAGACACGGCCCAGACUCCGUAGGGAGG
This 231-nucleotide ribosomal RNA is filed under the name uncultured bacterium. RNAcentral's name for it is "partial 16S ribosomal RNA". It matches the Rfam family "Bacterial small subunit ribosomal RNA", at positions 118 to 348 of the family's 1533-position model. The record is from RNAcentral.